Long non-coding RNA from Chrysemys picta bellii (western painted turtle), 1031 nucleotides. RefSeq lists it as uncharacterized. The record is from RefSeq and is a predicted model, not a curated record. Lineage: Eukaryota; Metazoa; Chordata; Testudines; Emydidae.
UCUUUUUUUUUCCUACGGUUUUCAUGGGUUCUCCCUCUCUCACACUCUCCCCCCUUCUCUCCCUCCCCUUCUUGUUUUUGUUCCUAGGACGGGAUGGGCGUUAAUUUUGUGUUUCACAUCCCGCGCUUUGAAGUCGUUCUCCCGAUGCUCCUCACUGCCUCCAGCCUCUGCCAAUACAUACAAAAAGCACGCUGCGCAACAUCAAGGGGAAGCGCGCUCUUUCAAGGGCGCGCCAGGUCACUUGGAGAGAUAAAACACGUUUGACAAGUGAAGAACAAGGCAAGUGCUUUAGAGGUCGCGUCCAAUUCCUGACCUGGACUCCCGCUAGAACAAGGACUGAUCCUGGAAAAGGGAUUGCUGGGGGGACAGGAAAGAACUUUCACUUUCUUUUGUGGUUGAGUCUGCUGAACCUACCAACAUGUGUAUGUUUGAAACACAGUCCCCACCCCCAAACUAAUGUGUCAGUGUCAGUUCAUGCUCUAAUAUUAGUAGCUCGGGUUGGCAUUUUCUCCUAGAUCUUUUCCCUUCAAACCAGUCCCUUUUUAAAUUCUGAAGUCACAGAAAUAUAUGCAAGGUCUCUUUUAAAAGCCACUUUUCUCUUUGAAAUGCGGUGCAUGGAUCAACCCACCACCAUCCUUGAGCCGUGUGUGUGUAGAGGAUAAAGUUAAAAUGAACAAUGUUUUAAAUUCCUUGUGUUUGCUAUUUUGCCCUAAAACAUUUCUGUAUUUCUCAAAAUGUGAUUACUGAAAUUGGAAGGGGAGAAAAGUCUUUGUUCGUGUAUUUCCCCGAAAAGAUGUUAAAACCAGUGGGGUCAUUUUAUGCAAGAGUGAAAAUUAGAGGACCGGGGAAACCCUGCCCAAGAAAAUGAUCUUGCAGCAGGAUUGACGAGACCCGCAACUUGUCCGUAAGGUCUCUUGGAAAUGACUUAAAUCUGCCCCAGGUUUUCCCCCGGUUCUUUCUUUUGUUGUCAAGUCCAAUUGAUAAAUGGAGUGCAGUAAAACUCUGGAAUAAAAAAAAAGCUGAAACCUUCA